GCAUUAAUGGGGUAGUGGUAACCUGGGUCGUUGCCACUGUUGCAACACUCGACCCGCCGGGGGUUCGAUUCCCCCUUAAUGCA
RNAcentral lists this transfer RNA (83 nucleotides) under Schizophyllum commune. RNAcentral's name for it is "tRNA-Gly". It matches the Rfam family "tRNA". Rfam says of the family: Transfer RNA (tRNA) molecules are approximately 80 nucleotides in length. Their secondary structure includes four short double-helical elements and three loops (D, anti-codon, and T loops). Further hydrogen bonds mediate the characteristic L-shaped molecular structure. tRNAs have two regions of fundamental functional importance: the anti-codon, which is responsible for specific mRNA codon recognition, and the 3' end, to which the tRNAs corresponding amino acid is attached (by aminoacyl-tRNA synthetases). tRNAs cope with the degeneracy of the genetic code in two manners: having more than one tRNA (with a specific anti-codon) for a particular amino acid; and 'wobble' base-pairing, i.e. permitting non-standard base-pairing at the 3rd anti-codon position. Lineage: Eukaryota; Fungi; Basidiomycota; Agaricomycetes; Agaricales; Schizophyllaceae. The record is from RNAcentral. RNAcentral also lists the same sequence under 1 other name.